This 253-nucleotide ribosomal RNA is filed under the name uncultured bacterium. Its description in RNAcentral is "partial 16S ribosomal RNA". It matches the Rfam family "Bacterial small subunit ribosomal RNA", at positions 524 to 776 of the family's 1533-position model. The record is from RNAcentral.
UACGUAGGCAGCAAGCGUUGUUCGGAAUUACUGGGCGUAAAGAGUGUGUAGGCGGUGCUCUAAGUUCGGUGUGAAAUCUCCCGGCUCAACUGGGAGGGUGCGCCGGAAACUGGAAUGCUUGAGCGUGGGAGAGGAAAGCGGAAUUCCUGGUGUAGCGGUGGAAUGCGCAGAUAUCAGGAAGAACACCAACGGCGAAGGCAGCUCGCUGGGACGGUACUGACGCUGAGGUGCGAAAGCGUGGGGAGCAAACAGG